Planctomycetes bacterium RBG_19FT_COMBO_48_8 is the source of this 178-nucleotide non-coding RNA. The record is from Rfam. NCBI's taxonomy places the organism in Bacteria, Pseudomonadati, Planctomycetota.
GUAGCCUUCUCAACUGUCGGGCCUCGUCCUUAUUUAGCUACGUUCAUAACGCAAGUGAAGGUAUUGAGCCCCGAAAUAUGUCAUAUUGCAUUGGGCCAGGGGCUUCUCCACUCUGAAACCAGUAUCGCUACACACGAUAGCGGUGAGUGUGUCGGCGACGUGCCGGGGUCGGAGGCCA